UACAGAGGGGGCGAGCGUUGUUCGGAAUUACUGGGCGUAAAGGGCGCGUAGGCGGCCAACUAAGUCAGACGUGAAAUCCCUCGGCUCAACCGGGGAACUGCGUCUGAUACUGGAUGGCUUGAAUUCGGGAGAGGGAUGCGGAAUUCCAGGUGUAGCGGUGAAAUGCGUAGAUAUCUGGAGGAACACCGGUGGCGAAGGCGGCAUCCUGGACCAAUAUUGACGCUGAGGAGCGAAAGCUAGGGGAGCAAACGGG
RNAcentral lists this ribosomal RNA (253 nucleotides) under uncultured bacterium. RNAcentral's name for it is "partial 16S ribosomal RNA". It matches the Rfam family "Bacterial small subunit ribosomal RNA", at positions 524 to 776 of the family's 1533-position model. The record is from RNAcentral.